Molecule: ribosomal RNA, 446 nt
Filed under: uncultured bacterium
Lineage: Bacteria
Description: partial 16S ribosomal RNA
Rfam family: Bacterial small subunit ribosomal RNA
Source: RNAcentral
CCUACGGGUGGCAGCAGUCGAGAAUCAUUCACAAUGGGGGAAACCCUGAUGGUGCGACGCCGCGUGGGGGAAUGAAGGUCUUCGGAUUGUAAACCCCUGUCAUGUGGGAGUAAAUUAAAAAGAUAGUACUACAAGAGGAAGAGAUGGCUAAUUCUGUGCCAGCAGCCGCGGUAAUACAGAGGUCUCAAGCGUUGUUCGGAAUCACUGGGCGUAAAGCGUGCGUAGGCUGUUUCGUAAGUCGUGUGUGAAAGGCGCGGGCUCAACCCGCGGACGGCACAUGAUACUGCGAGACUAGAGUACUGGAGGGGGAGCCGGAAUUCUCGGUGUAGCAGUGAAAUGCGUAGAUAUCGAGAGGAACACUCGUGGCGAAGGCAGGUUCCUGGACAUUAACUGACGCUGAGGCACGAAGGCCAGGGGAGCGAAAGGGAUUAGAUACCCCUGUAGUC